UGUUACACAAUUAUAGUGGCAUCCUUUUGCUUUUUCGGCAAAAGAUAUAACGGAAAGCCCGACCACGC
This 68-nucleotide small RNA is filed under the name Winogradskyella pacifica. RNAcentral's name for it is "Flavo-1 RNA". The record is from RNAcentral. Lineage: Bacteria; Pseudomonadati; Bacteroidota; Flavobacteriia; Flavobacteriales; Flavobacteriaceae.